UCAACUACAUAAUCAUUCAUUAUCUUUACAAUUAACCAUCUAAAGCUACCACAGUUCUUCAAUCAAAGUAUAUAUCUACAUAUAUAGAGAGAGUACACUUCAUAAUUUCGUCCCUUGUCUUCCGUAAACGUAGCACGAAAAUUUGAUACCCAGUAUUGUAAGGCAAGUCGUAGAAGCAGUCUUCCUGCACAUAUUUAAA
RNAcentral lists this long non-coding RNA (199 nucleotides) under Panax ginseng (ginseng). Its description in RNAcentral is "long non-coding RNA (PGIN_LNC012435)". The record is from RNAcentral. Lineage: Eukaryota; Viridiplantae; Streptophyta; Magnoliopsida; Apiales; Araliaceae.